RNAcentral lists this ribosomal RNA (120 nucleotides) under Citrobacter amalonaticus. Its description in RNAcentral is "partial 23S ribosomal RNA". It matches the Rfam family "Bacterial large subunit ribosomal RNA", at positions 2818 to 2925 of the family's 2925-position model. The record is from RNAcentral. Lineage: Bacteria; Pseudomonadati; Pseudomonadota; Gammaproteobacteria; Enterobacterales; Enterobacteriaceae.
UAAAGGGUCCUGAAGGAACGUUGAAGACGACGACGUUGAUAGGCCGGGUGUGUAAGCGCAGCGAUGCGUUGAGCUAACCGGUACUAAUGAACCGUGAGGCUUAACCUUACAACGCCGAAG